RNAcentral lists this ribosomal RNA (253 nucleotides) under uncultured bacterium. Its description in RNAcentral is "partial 16S ribosomal RNA". It matches the Rfam family "Bacterial small subunit ribosomal RNA", at positions 524 to 776 of the family's 1533-position model. The record is from RNAcentral.
UACGUAGGGUGCAAGCGUUGUCCGGAAUUACUGGGCGUAAAGCGUGUGUAGGCGGCCACGUAAGUCGGAUGUGAAAGCCCCGGGCUCAACCCGGGAAGUGCACUCGAUACUGCGUGGCUUGAGUACUGGAGAGGUUGGUGGAAUUCUCGGUGUAGAGGUGAAAUUCGUAGAUAUCGAGAGGAACACCGGUGGCGAAGGCGGCCAACUGGACAGAUACUGACGCUGAGACACGAAAGCGUGGGGAGCAAACAGG